GACGAACGCUGGCGGCGUGCUUAACACAUGCAAGUCGAACGGAAAGGCCUCUUUCGGGGGGUACUCGAGUGGCGAACGGGUGAGUAACACGUGAGUAACCUGCCCUUGACUUUGGGAUAACUUCAGGAAACUGGGGCUAAUACCGGAUAGGAGCUCCAGCUGCAUGGUGGGGGUUGGAAAGUUUCGGCGGUUGGGGAUGGACUCGCGGCUUAUCAGCUUGUUGGUGGGGUAGUGGCUUACCAAGGCUUUGACGGGUAGCCGGCCUGAGAGGGUGACCGGCCACAUUGGGAAUGAGGGAAGGGCCAGACCCCCACGGGGGGGAGGAGGGGGGAAUAUUGCACCAUGGGUGGAAGCCUGAUGCAGCAACGCCGUGUGCGGGAUGACGGCCUUCGGGUUGUAAACCGCUUUCGCUCAUGACGAAGCUUUGUGUGACGGUAGUGGGUAAAGAAGCACCGGCUAACUACGUG
RNAcentral lists this ribosomal RNA (467 nucleotides) under uncultured bacterium. RNAcentral describes it as "partial 16S ribosomal RNA". It matches the Rfam family "Bacterial small subunit ribosomal RNA", at positions 28 to 507 of the family's 1533-position model. The record is from RNAcentral.